GCUGGGCAUGGUGGUGCAUGCCCGUAGUCCCAGCUACUUGGGGGGCUGAGGUGGGAGGAUCACUUGAGCCCAGGAGGUUGAGGCUGCAGUGAGCUGAGAUCGUGCCACUGCACUCCAGCCUGGGUGACAAACUGAGACCCUGCCUCAA
Molecule: unclassified non-coding RNA, 148 nt
Organism: Pongo abelii (Sumatran orangutan)
Lineage: Eukaryota; Metazoa; Chordata; Mammalia; Primates; Hominidae
Rfam family: Metazoan signal recognition particle RNA
About the family: The signal recognition particle (SRP) is a universally conserved ribonucleoprotein. It is involved in the co-translational targeting of proteins to membranes. The eukaryotic SRP consists of a 300-nucleotide 7S RNA and six proteins: SRPs 72, 68, 54, 19, 14, and 9.
Source: Ensembl